GCGCGUCUCCCGCCUCCCAGCCACGGCCCCCGGCCGCCAAGGAGGUUGAGGGCGAGGGCGGCCCAGAGGCGGGGGAGACGGACCGACGAGGAGGAUGAUAACGUGCAGAGCGCUGUUCUAAGCGCCGGGGCAGACAGAGGGUCGCCGGGUAGCGUCAGUGGGCCCGGGCCGGCCUCUCCGGCCGUCCCCCGUAGGCCUCCGGGGCCAGGGGAGGCUCCCCGCCGGGCCUCCCCGCACCCCGACGGCCAACGGGAGCAGGACGUGAGCCGGGGACCUGCCCGGCCGACGGGUGGGCACGGCCCAGGUGGGCGGCGCCGGCCGCGUUGGGCCGAAUGGGCCCCGGACCCGUCGUCCCCCGCCCGGGCCCAAGGCGGCCGGAGAGGCCCGAGGCACGUGCCGCUGCUUCCCGCGCGCGGCGGCCCAGCCCGGCGGCGGACGGACCUGGCUUCUGAUCCCGGCUCUGCCACUCGCCUCCCCCCCCGGGACCCUGGGCCGCCUGACUCCCCUGGGCCUCCGCGAAACGGGGACGGAGGCCGCGAGCCCCGCGUGGGACGGGGACCGGGGCCCAUCCCGUUUGCUUGGAUCCCCCCCCCCCCCCCCCCCCCCCCCGGUCCAGCGCCCGGCACGGCGCUUAUCGGACGCCGUUACCGUUGUCGUCGUUAUCACUCAUCGUGAUCGUUACAAGGGACGCCAUUACGGCACCCUCCGGGGCUCAGGGCCCCCGUUUUCGGCAGCGGAAACCGGAGCUGCCGCGGGAAGGGAGGGGGUGGAAAUGGUCGUGGUCACGGUCCGGGGCAGAGAACGAGCCCGGGUUCGGUGGCAAGAGCCCGGGCUUUGGAGUCAGAGGUCACGGGUUCGAAUCCCGGCUCCGCCACCUGCCAGCUGUGUGGCUGUGGGCGAGUCGCUUCACUUCUCUGGGCCUCGGUGACCCCGCCUGGAAAAUGGGGCUGAAGACCGGGAGCCUCACGUGGGACGACCUGAUGACCCCGUAUCACCCCGGCGCCUAGAACGGUGCUCUGCUCAUAGUAAGCGCUUAACGGAUACCAACAUUAUUGUUAUUAUUAAAUUCGAAUGAAUGAAUGCUCCCACUGCCCUGAUGGGCACACUGAGGCCAGCGGAUGGGGAGCAUCUGGCCCCGGGGCAAGGAGCGAGUCAGUUUCAAGGCCUAGAAGAGAGCACGGAGAGACCCACUUGAUUUGAUCAAUUUUCUCUUAAAGUUGCCGAAAUCAGCGUCUUCCCUUCUUCCCCUAGAGGCUGUAAAAUCUCCUUACGAUGACUUUUCACUUAAAUAGCACCGUAACAUUCGAUGGUAUUUAUUGAGCGCUCACUAUGUGCAGAGCACUGGACUGAGCGCUUGGAAUGGACAAGUCGGUAACAGAGACGGCCCCUGCCCUUCGACGGCCUUAACGAGAUGACGGGGAUGUGUUUUCGUCUCUUUAAAAGAUCUUACUGGAGAGUUUUAAUUCAAGAAGUACUAAAGUGCAGCCGGCUGGGGCAUCGAUCGAGUGCUUACUGCGUGCAGAGGACCGUACUGAGCGCCUGGGAGAGAACAAGGGAGUUGGCAGACACGAUCCCCGCCCACGACGAGCCUACAGACUAAAAGGGAGGUGAACGUUAAAAUAGGUUACGGACUGGAGAAGCGGCGUGGCUCAGUGGAAAGAGCCGGGGCUCGGGAGUCAGAGGUCGCGGGUUCUAAUCCCGGCUCCGCCGCUUGUCAGCUGUGUGACCUUGGGCAAGUCACCGAAGUGUCCGUUAUAUCGUUGAAUUGUCUUCCCCCAAGCGCUCGGCAGAGUGCCCUGCACACAGUCAAUCAACACGACUGACUGGCCGACCGCUUCUCUGGGCCUCGGUUUUCGCAACUCUAAAUAAAAUGGGGAUUAAAUAAUAAUGAUGUUGGUAUCUGUUAAGCGCUUACUCUGUGCCGAGCACCGUUCUAAGCGCUGGGGUACACACGGGGGAAUCGGGCUGCCCCACGUGGGGCUCCCGGUCUUCAUCCCCAUUUGACAGAGGAGGGGACUGAGGCCCAGAGAAGUGGAGUGACUUGCCCGCGGUCACCCGGCUGACGGGUGGCGGAGCUGGGAUUCGAACCCUGUUCCCUCCUGCAGAUUAAACACCUGUUCUCGCCUACAUAGUCCGGUCUGAUCGUGUCCACCCCAGCGCUUAGUGCAGUGUUGAACACACCGUGAGUGUUUAACAAAGGCCAUCUAUUAAAAAAACAAAAACCACACCGCAUGAAAAGAAAUCCAAGUACAUGCGAUGCAGGAGGGAGAGGGAGGGAAAUGAGGGCUUAGUGGGGGAAGCCUUCUUGGAGGAGGUGUGAUUUUUUUAGGAGGGUUUUGAAGGUGAGAUGAGAGAGUGGUGGUCUCGGUGUGAAAAAUUAAGAGGGUUUUGUAAUAGAUUUAAAUUUCAUCGUACGAGAAGAUCGUACCGUGACUCUUGGAGGAAUGGAUUCUUUUAAGUUGGUUUAUCAGAGGAAUAUGUGUUCUGUUGGAAGCGAAAAGGAUCGCUUCCGAAAGCCACUGGAGUUACGGAUGACAUCGACCUCAAAAAGGUAACAAAGCACAUGACUUUGGAUUCAGGAAAAAAAACAAAACCCCAACUGGCUGCCCUUUUGUACUUCUUGAAUUAAAACUAUCCGGUAAAAUAUUUUAAAGAGAGAAAACACAUUCGUGUCAGAUGGUUUUCCCAAGCAAUUCCACGGUUACGUUGCUGUUUAAGUGAAAAGUAAUCGUAAGGAGAUUUUUAAGCCUCUAGAAGAAGAAAGGGAGAAGCUGACUUUCCAACUUGAAGGGAAACCUGAGCAAAUUCAUCCCAAGCCAUCCUCCAGCCUCACGCAAAACGAAUGACCUGUCAUUUUGACUAUUUUGCUAUAACGCAAAACAUUAAUACAUGAAAAGCUUCCCGAUUCAAACCGGCAUUUACUAAAACCACCUGCUUCGACGGGACUAUCCCGAAUGCUCGUAUGACCGUUAACGUCUCCGACAGACCAUCAGUCUGCACGUAGCGAGCGCUCGGGAGAUCCGAUGGAUUGAACUGCAUGUCGAUCCACGUGGAGAAGCAGCGCGGCUCAGCGGAAAGAGCCCGGCCUUGGGAGUCAGAGGUCACG
Molecule: long non-coding RNA, 3106 nt
Filed under: Ornithorhynchus anatinus (platypus)
Lineage: Eukaryota; Metazoa; Chordata; Mammalia; Monotremata; Ornithorhynchidae
Description: lncRNA (ENSOANG00000049156.1)
Source: RNAcentral